RNAcentral lists this ribosomal RNA (475 nucleotides) under uncultured bacterium. RNAcentral describes it as "SSU rRNA". It matches the Rfam family "Bacterial small subunit ribosomal RNA", at positions 26 to 518 of the family's 1533-position model. The record is from RNAcentral.
AGGACGAACGCUGGCGGCGUGCUUAACACAUGCAAGUCGAACGGUAAGGCCCUUCGGGGUACACGAGUGGCGAACGGGUGAGUAACACGUGGGUGAUCUGCCCUGCACUUCGGGAUAAGCUUGGGAAACUGGGUCUAAUACCGGAUAUGACUACGAAUCGCAUGGUUUGUGGUGGAAAGCUUUUGCGGUGUGGGAUGGGCCCGCGGCCUAUCAGCUUGUUGGUGGGGUGAUGGCCUACCAAGGCGACGACGGGUAGCCGGCCUGAGAGGGUGUCCGGCCACACUGGGACUGAGAUACGGCCCAGACUCCUACGGGAGCAGCAGUGGGGAAUAUUGCACAAUGGGCGCAAGCCUGAUGCAGCGACGCCGCGUGAGGGAUGACGGCCUUCGGGUUGUAAACCUCUUUCAGUAUCGACGAAGCGCAAGUGACGGUAGGUACAGAAGAAGGACCGGACCAACUACGCGCCAGCAGCCGC